CGCGGGGUGGAGCAGCCCGGUAGCUCGUCAGGCUCAUAACCUGAAGGCCGCAGGUUCAAAUCCUGCCCCCGCAACCG
Molecule: transfer RNA, 77 nt
Filed under: Gluconobacter japonicus
Lineage: Bacteria; Pseudomonadati; Pseudomonadota; Alphaproteobacteria; Acetobacterales; Acetobacteraceae
Also listed under: 3 other names
Description: tRNA-Met
Rfam family: tRNA
About the family: Transfer RNA (tRNA) molecules are approximately 80 nucleotides in length. Their secondary structure includes four short double-helical elements and three loops (D, anti-codon, and T loops).
Source: RNAcentral